UAAGGAAUAUUGGACAAUGGGCGGAAGCCUGAUCCAGCCAUGCCGCGUGAAGGACGAAGGCGCUCAGCGUUGUAAACUUCUUUUGGAUGGGAACAAUAAUCGAGACUUGUCUUGACUUGAGGGUACCAUCAGAAUAAGCACCGGCUAACUCCGUGCCAGCAGCCGCGGUAAUACGGAGGGUGCAAGCGUUAUCCGGAAUCACUGGGUUUAAAGGGUGCGUAGGCGGCCCGAUAAGUCAGUCGUGAAAUCG
This 250-nucleotide ribosomal RNA is filed under the name uncultured bacterium. RNAcentral describes it as "partial 16S ribosomal RNA". It matches the Rfam family "Bacterial small subunit ribosomal RNA", at positions 355 to 602 of the family's 1533-position model. The record is from RNAcentral.